Molecule: long non-coding RNA, 472 nt
Organism: Papaver somniferum (opium poppy)
Lineage: Eukaryota; Viridiplantae; Streptophyta; Magnoliopsida; Ranunculales; Papaveraceae
Exons: 3
Source: RefSeq, a predicted model, not a curated record
CGCCAAACGUUGCUGUUUAGUGCAACAAUGCCAGUAGAAAUUGAAGCCCUUGCGCAGAAGUACCUUAGUGACCCAGUGCAAGUGAAGGUUGGAAAGGUUCAGGAGAGUGAGAAGGUUAAUAUGGAGGACUUGCAUUAAAUUAUGAUUCAGAUUAUACCAUGGGAAAACAUGAGAAGGAGACAAAAUGGAUGCCUGGGUUGCCAAAACAGCCAAAUGGAUGAAUGAUAAUUAGGUCGAUGUAAUAGUGAGUUAUUCAGACGAACAUAUUUAUUUGUUGUGGAUGAUAUUUUGUGUUCUCUUAAUUGUAUUCUUCCGGCUUUAUUUUGCUAAAAAACAAAUUAUCUGGAAACACUGCAAGUUUACUGUCUCUGUACAUAGUGGGAAGAGUCAUUUUGCUUUCCUGUGUUAUGAAGGUUUUGCUCAAACAUCUGGGAAACAAUUUUUAUCUGUAAAUGCUCUACAUAUUUGGCAA